Molecule: ribosomal RNA, 253 nt
Filed under: uncultured bacterium
Lineage: Bacteria
Description: partial 16S ribosomal RNA
Rfam family: Bacterial small subunit ribosomal RNA
Source: RNAcentral
UACGUAGAGGGCUAGCGUUGUCCGGAUUUAUUGGGCGUAAAGAGCGUGUAGGCGGCCAUGUAGGUCCGGUGUGAAAACUCGAGGCUUAACCUCGAGAUGUCAUCGGAAACCAUUUGGCUAGAGUCCGGAAGAGGAGAGUGGAAUUCCUGGUGUAGCGGUGAAAUGCGCAGAUAUCAGGAAGAACACCAAUGGCGAAAGCAGCUCUCUGGGACGGUACUGACGCUGAGACGCGAAAGCGUGGGGAGCGAACAGG